Long non-coding RNA from Lagopus muta (rock ptarmigan), 2747 nucleotides. RefSeq lists it as uncharacterized. The record is from RefSeq and is a predicted model, not a curated record. Lineage: Eukaryota; Metazoa; Chordata; Aves; Galliformes; Phasianidae. The transcript is spliced from 3 exons.
CUAAGGGUUCCUUGCAUCUUUCUGAAUGGUAAUUGCACUCCUCUUGAGUUGUCACUCACCAUUGGAAGGGUCCACGCUUCUUGAUAUGGCUGUAGAUCCAGGUCACAGCUAGUGCUAGGAUGCUUAUAUCUGGUGUGUGGAAUGAGCUGAGCCAUGCUGUCUGCCUGUGAUUGACGGACAAGUCAAAGUGCAAGUCAAAGCGGCUGGAGCUGGUGAUAAAGAUCAGUCUGGUAACAUAUUUUGACAAAAAAAAAAAAAAAAUGUUGCAAGAAGGAUGUAGCACAUAAGAUUUUUCUUCUGGAUUCUUCUGAAGGUUUCAAGAAACUGCAUUAUAAUAUAAUAAUGCAUUAUGAUUGGUAAAAAAAACUUCAUUCGUCUUAUCCUACUGAGGAGCUGCUUCUAACAAAAUAUGAAACAACAUUCUCAUCUUUCCCAUGAUUGUGUCAAAAAUCAGAGGUUCAGAGAUAAAAUACGUAUUGGAAAAUAAAUUGUCAGAAUUUUUUUUGCAUCUCUAUUUUAACAGCACUUAAAUGACUUGGGAAAGCAUUUCAGGAAAAAUAUUUUUUUUUAGAAAAUAAACAAGCAGGAAAAAAAAAACCACCCUCAACAUCUGAAGGGUUAGAACUUUAACAUUAGAAGAAGGGAUAAUUGCGACAAAUAUUUAUUGUUCUGUUGAUUUGCUUGACUAACUCUAACCCUCAACAGUAAGUGCUUUGUGCUUUCAUUCAGUAUUUUAUUUGUUAGCAAAUAUUCUAAGGGAAGUGUAGUCCCCUGUGCUUUGCAGAUGACCUCAGGAAGUAUAGUUACGUAGAAUAAAAUCAUAGACAAAAACUGGGUCUUUUCUUAACAAUGAAUAUCUUCAUUAUGUAGCUAUGGGGAUGAUUUCAAUUAAAAAAAUAUAUAUAUAUCUGAUUGGCAACUAAUUUCUUGCUUAGCCAAAUAAAGAAAAUCCAGAUCUGAUUUUAUUUUUUGACUAGAGCUGUGACUUAUUUGACUUAAAAAAAAAAAAAAAACAAACUUUAGUAUGAAGAAGAAAGCUUUGUUUGCCUCUGUCUUUCAUUAUCAGUACUUCAAAAUUCGAAGCGUCACCUGUUUCACUCUGUUUUUCUUUCUGAAUAAUUUUUUUUCCAUAACAUACAAGCUGGUAUGAAAAUCUAUCUACUUACAAAGUGGUUAGUAUUCAUUUUUUUGGUUUCUAGGUUGUAAGAAAGGCAGGGCACUGAGAGAUAAAACUGGAGAAGGAGGAAGGCUGAUGAUGAGAUGUUCUCAAUUGCAUAGCAUAGCAUAACUAUAUUCUAACAGAGCAAAUUUUUGUCAUCUUGAAGGCCGUGGUAAAUAUAACACAACACUGAAAAUGAUGCACAAAAAUACAGCUUAUUUAUUAAAAAAGUAUAUUCAAAUGUGUAUAAUGUAGAGACAGAUAUUUAAAUAUGGAUAAUACAAAGACAGACAGAAACGAAGGGCAUUUGUCUGUUACUCCCUUUAUCAAAAAUCAGGAAGCUGUUCCUCCUGCGCUCUAUCCCAAAGACAUUUUAUCCUUGGUUUUUAGUGUAUCUUCAGAGCAAGUGAUUUAUGUAAGCCCUGCAUAUUUGUGUGUUUUGUCAUUGAAGAGGUCACUGAUUUAGCUAUACUUUUGCUUGCUUGCAGUCAAAAUACUUACUGAUUUUGAAUACAAAGAGUUUUUACUCAGGUUAAAACAUCCUCUUCACCCACAUGUUGGGAUUUCUUUUUUGUUAUUAAUUUAAUUAGAACAUUGUAAUACUACUUCUUCAUACAGCAUUUCAGCUUUCUUGAUGAGCUGUUUUGAGGCAAAAUAGCAUUUUAUGCCUUCUAGAAUGAUAUUUGAACUUGUACAGCUCUCAUCUGACACAGAUCCUUGUAUUUCUCCUAAAUGACAGACUGAUCACUCAUUGUUCAGCAGUGUAAAUGGAAUUCAAACAGAGUUUUUAACUACAUGCCAGCUGAGACCAAAGGUACAGUACUUUUGACAAAUGACAAUUUUGGUGUAUCUAGUUUGUAGAAUAGCCUUUGGGAGUUACCUGUGUGAUAACAUUGCUCUGUUGGUCAAUUUACUGUACUUUUUUUAAUCAUAUGCAUUGAUUUUCUUAAACGUACAAAAGGAAGGUAAAACCAAACAAACUUUCUUAAGCAAAAAUUUCACAAUAUGCCAUUUAAGAAAGCCAACUCUAAUUACCAGUCAUGCCAAAUUAUCAAAUUCUGUUGUGGAAUGUAGCAACCACAUUUCUUCAUAGUCAAUUCAAUAUUUUUGCUCAAGUUUAAAUUGACUACUUGGAAAAUGAAUGAAAAACAUAUUUCAAACUGAAUUUCAAGGCAGCUGGCUGCUUAACAGGAAAGUUGAGUAGCAGACUAGUAAUGCUUGAGAGGUUCUCCAGAAUCUUGAAAGCAUCCAAAAGUAUGAUGAUUAUAAAUUUUUACAAGUUUUAUGUAAUUAUGUAUGACAUUUAAUAGAAACCUUCCAAAGUGGCUGCUUGAAGCAUAUCUGAACUCAAGUGAAAUUAACUGUUAAGUGUACACUUCAAAAAGAAAUCCUUUGUUUUGUACAUCUGAUGUUACAACAGUAAUUUUAACAAAAUAAUCUAACUGUAAUUAAAAUAAGCUGUGAAAUAUUACCUAUUUUUAAAUUAGUUAUUUGGAAUUUGGUCUUGUUCAACUUUAUUCCUAAUUUUACAUUGCCACAUUAUUCAUCUCUAAUGCAGAUACUUGGUACUUUGAUGUCAUUUUCUUGC